Molecule: ribozyme, 126 nt
Filed under: Bacillus spizizenii str. W23
Lineage: Bacteria; Bacillati; Bacillota; Bacilli; Caryophanales; Bacillaceae
Description: Bacillus subtilis subsp. spizizenii str. W23 glmS riboswitch leader
Rfam family: glmS glucosamine-6-phosphate activated ribozyme aptamer
About the family: This entry contains a glucosamine-6-phosphate activated ribozyme that is found in the mRNA for GlmS.
Source: RNAcentral
CCUAUAAUUAUAGCGCCCGAACUAAGCGCCCGAAAAAAGGCUUAGUUGACGAGGAUGGAGGUUAUCGAAUUUUCGGCGGAUGCCUCCCGGCUGAUUAUGCAGAUCACAGCCGUAAGGAUUUCUUCA